CAGCCGCCACGGUAAUACAGAGGGUGCGAGCGUUAAUCGGAUUUACUGGGCGUAAAGCGUGCGUAGGCGGCUUCUUAAGUCGGAUGUGAAAUCCCUGAGCUUAACUUAGGAAUUGCAUUCGAUACUGGGAAGCUAGAGUAUGGGAGAGGAUGGUAGAAUUCCAGGUGUAGCGGUGAAAUGCGUAGAGAUCUGGAGGAAUACCGAUGGCGAAGGCAGCCAUCUGGCCUAAUACUGACGCUGAGGUACGAAAGAAUGGGGAGCAAACAGGAUUAGAUACCCCAGUAGUCCCUGUCUCUUAUAC
Molecule: ribosomal RNA, 301 nt
Filed under: uncultured bacterium
Lineage: Bacteria
Description: partial 16S ribosomal RNA
Rfam family: Bacterial small subunit ribosomal RNA
Source: RNAcentral